UACUUGCUAAUCAUUGGGAAAUAGAUGACUAGACAACAUGUUCGCAAAGAUCCUGGUAGUCGUUCUGGUAGCCCAGGUGGUUCUGGGUAAACAAGUUGAUAUAAAGGAUGAACACCAGAAGCCGAGGUUUAAGCGAAGCUCCUGUGCCGUAACACCGAGAAAACUUGGUGAUAUGACAGAAUUCAAAUACCCAGCUAGCGGAAAUUAUCAAAAUUAUGCUAGGUGUAAUUGGCAAGUUUGUCCUGGUACAACACGAGCACAAGUUACUAUCACGAAAAUGGACAUUGAACUACAGGCAUCUUGUGGAUAUGAUGCAGUAAUAAUUGAUAAUAUUAAAUAUUGUGGCACUUCACUCAGGACACUGGAUGUAUCUACAGAUGGUGGCUGUAUUGCAGUAGGAUUUACAAGUGACGGUAGUGUACAGAUGUCUGGAUUUGAUCUUGAAAUCAGACCAAUCCGAGAUAACUACAGCUCCGAUAGCUACCCAAGCUACAGUUCGGAUUCUUACCCAAGCUACAGCUCUCAUUACUACCCAAGCUACAGCUCCGAUCCCUACCCAAGCUACAGCUCCCAUUCCUACCCAAGCUACAGCUCCCAUUACUACCCAAGCUACAGCUCUCAUUACUACCCAAGCUACAGCUCCGAUCCCUACCCAAGCUACAGCUCCAAUUACUACCCAAGCUAUAGUUCAAGCUACUAUCCUGACUCUAGCCAAGGGGUUUAUAACGGAAACUCGAGCUCCGUAUUUGGAAUGGUGGGCGUUCUACACCACGCUCAAGAUACUUUACAAGACGCUCAGGAAACAGUUGACGCUAUUGAGGAGCAAUUACAACUGAAGUAGAUGAGCAUCUAUCAUUUAAGGAACGGAAUGCUGUACUUCCUGAAUAAACAUCUAAGCAAA
Patella vulgata (common limpet) is the source of this 901-nucleotide long non-coding RNA. RefSeq lists it as uncharacterized. The record is from RefSeq and is a predicted model, not a curated record. Lineage: Eukaryota; Metazoa; Mollusca; Gastropoda; Patellidae. The transcript has 6 exons.